This is a non-coding RNA of Megalobrama amblycephala (Wuchang bream), 72 nucleotides long. NCBI's taxonomy places the organism in Eukaryota, Metazoa, Chordata, Actinopteri, Cypriniformes, Xenocyprididae. The record is from the annotation of a RefSeq genome assembly.
AGAUCUGUGGCUCAAUGGUAGAGCACUGGCACACAAUGCCAGAGGUCGCUGGUUCGACUCCAGCCAGAUCUC